This 305-nucleotide ribosomal RNA is filed under the name uncultured bacterium. RNAcentral describes it as "bacterial SSU rRNA". It matches the Rfam family "Bacterial small subunit ribosomal RNA", at positions 335 to 657 of the family's 1533-position model. The record is from RNAcentral.
AGCCCUACGGGAGGCAGCAGUGGGGGAUAUUGCACAAUGGGGGGAACCCUGAUGCAGCGACGCCGCGUGAAGGAAGAAGUAUCUCGGUAUGUAAACUUCUAUCAGCAGGGAAGAAAAUGACGGUACCUGACUAAGAAGCCCCGGCUAACUACGUGCCAGCAGCCGCGGUAAUACGUAGGGGGCAAGCGUUAUCCGGAUUUACUGGGUGUAAAGGGAGCGUAGACGGCAGUGCAAGUCUGAAGUGAAAGGCGGGGGCCCAACCCCCGGACUGCUUUGGAAACUGUGCUGCUGGAGUGCAGGAGAGG